GUCAGGCACCUCAUCGAUGCGUAGAUCCUUCCAGCGCUGACGUUCGCCCUCGAAGGCUGCCUGUUGCCGCAGCUUGAACGUCGCAAUGCUAUCGCGGUCACGGACCAGAGCCUUGGCAUAAUCAGCAUAGGAANGGCAUAGUCAGCAUAGGAAAAUUCGCUCUCCUCGAUCUUUAGCGGAUAGGCGCCGUGCGGAAAUGCCGCGCGGGCCUCCAGCAAUUCCUCCGCACUAACGGGAAAAAAGCGAAUCUCNCGUCGAAGAACCGCAGCAGCCAUGGAUGCCCCGGCUUGAACACAGGCGUGGUUCGCCAUGU
This 313-nucleotide unclassified non-coding RNA is filed under the name Hevea brasiliensis (rubber tree). Lineage: Eukaryota; Viridiplantae; Streptophyta; Magnoliopsida; Malpighiales; Euphorbiaceae. The record is from RNAcentral.